UACAGAGGGUGCAAGCGUUAAUCGGAGUUACUGGGCGUAAAGGGCGCGUAGGCGGUUGUUUAAGUGAGAUGUGAAAUCCCUGGGCUUAACCUAGGAAUUGCAUUUUAGACUAGAUGACUGGAGUACAGUAGAGGGUAGCGGAAUUUCCGGUGUAGCGGUGAAAUGCGUAGAGAUCGGAAGGAACAUCAGUGGCGAAGGCGGCUACCUGGACUGAAACUGACGCUGAGGCGCGAGAGCGUGGGGAGCAAACAGG
This 253-nucleotide ribosomal RNA is filed under the name uncultured bacterium. RNAcentral's name for it is "partial 16S ribosomal RNA". It matches the Rfam family "Bacterial small subunit ribosomal RNA", at positions 524 to 776 of the family's 1533-position model. The record is from RNAcentral.